CUUAAACCUCAAUUGUCCUUGAUCCAACCCUUCGAUCAAGCUCAAACUCAAAGCACUUAUUGAACACAUAUAAACCUAAAAACCUUCAAAAUUUCACCUAUAUAUCUACUGCAAAACUUAUAAAAUUCUCCAAAAAAUAUCUCCCAUUUUAUUUCAUAAAUCCAGAGUCACUUAAAACAAACCCCAAUUAUGAAAAGCUCAUAC
RNAcentral lists this long non-coding RNA (204 nucleotides) under Physcomitrium patens. Its description in RNAcentral is "long non-coding RNA (PPAT_LNC003901)". The record is from RNAcentral. Lineage: Eukaryota; Viridiplantae; Streptophyta; Bryopsida; Funariales; Funariaceae.